UACUGGUUAACAGGCCUUCCUAAAUUGUGGGAUCCAUGCUUUUUCCCAAUUAUCAGGCCUACAACAUUCACUUGGGGAAAUGGGAGGAGAGGGAGAGAAGCAAAGAUCCUGGCACCCACUAUGAGAGGAAGAAAUGAGUGAAUAGGUAUAUAUCUUUUCAUGAAAGAAAAUAGUUUCUUUCUAUCAUAGCUCUUGAAUUCAGCUUGCCUAAGACCUGAGGACUUCUAAAUUCAAGUUCCCUUGACUUACUCUCAGAAGGAUUUGUCUGCUCUAUUGUCUUCUCUGACAAUAUCACCCAUCAAUCAUCCAUUCUUAUCAAGAGGAAAGCAUCAGGACUACCCUCUUUGGUCCUCCAGGAGUGACAGGCACUACACUGAGGGCUGGGAAUACCAAAUCAAGCAAACAAGACAGUCUCUGCCCUUAAGGACCUAACAUUCUAAUAAGAAAAGAUGGGACAGAAAAAGGAGUCAAAGUUGGAAGAAUGUGAGUGGAGGCAUGACUUGGAAAGGCUUGGGGAGUAUCUGGUGGCCUGAUGCCAGACGAGAUGUUUUGUCUCUCUCAUGAUGGAUAAUUCUUUUUUGGAUGUGGGGAGCAUAGAAAGGGUCUGAUUUCUGAUGAAACUCCUGCUCAGGUACCCAACGAGAGCAACCCAGGGGCCCCAGCUAUGACAAGAAACGAGGCCAAACCAGUAUCCAGUCAGCCCCAACCUGGUGUCCAGGUAGCCUGGGCCUGAACUACAACAGGAAACAACACCAGGAAAUUCAUGAAGAAAGUAGGACCUUGUCUUAGCUGCUGAACUCAGGAUCAAGCAGAGUCUGCCUAUAUCAUCUAGGAGUCCAGGAACUGAGUUUCACCCAAGCAGAAGAACCAAUAUAAAAACUGAGACUAGAUGUAAGAGGAAACAGAAGAAAACACCAAUCACAAUGAAGAAAUACCUUGGACUGAGAGAUGCCCAAAGGGUAAACCUAGAAGAGAAGUUGAGACAAAACUUCAGAGAAAAGAAUGUCCUUGCCACAAAGAUUACAAGAGCACCAGGAAGAAAUGAAACAAGAUACAAAAUGGGAUAGCUGGGGAAGAAAAAUGUCAAGGAAAGCUAAUACCAUAGAACAGAUAGUAGUAAGCUUUACCCAAGAAUUUAACUCCUUAAAAAUUAGAAUGGGUCAAACAGAACACAUGGACUCUGUGAGAAAGACAUCUAGAAAUAUUCAAACAAAAUCAAAAGAUUGAAAACAGGGAAGAAAAUGUCUGAUCUGGAUACAGGUCAAGGAGAGAUAAUCUUAAGAAUCAUUGGACAACCUGAAAAUUAUGACCAAAGCCUUCUUGGUUUGGAAUUGCUAAAGUAGAUCUAGAAAUUUUACAAAGAGGUAUGAAUAAACUUUGGUAUUUUGUUCAUAUCAAAUUAUCUCAAAUAGAAUUAGAAACUGCUUGAACUGGAUGAUUUUAGCACCUCUUUUAAUAAUUCUUUUGUUCUCACUUCCCUGAGAUUCCUAAGGCAAAGUUUAGCCUCUGACUCCUGAGGUACAGAUUUUAGAAGUUGGAAAAACUGAUAAAACUGAUAAAAUAUAGCUGGCUACAUCAGAGAUGAGACUUUUUUUUUGUACGUAAGGGAGAUGUGGGACACUGUUUUGCUGCUGUAAUUCUACAAGUUCAGCCUACAAAUUGGUCUUUGUUGGGUCUGGGUCACCAGUUGCCACAGGACCACAGGACAGAAAAGGAUACUUCUCAGGCAGGGAAGCACUGAGAGAACCAGUACUCAUGAUCUUAGCUUCACCAUCCAUGACCGGUCAUUUGUGACUUCAAUCUCCUUCAAUAAAUUGGCUCCAGAUAUA
Molecule: long non-coding RNA, 1829 nt
Organism: Vombatus ursinus (common wombat)
Lineage: Eukaryota; Metazoa; Chordata; Mammalia; Diprotodontia; Vombatidae
Exons: 3
Source: RefSeq, a predicted model, not a curated record